This 68-nucleotide transfer RNA is filed under the name bovine gut metagenome. The stretch from base 5 to 65 matches the Rfam family "tRNA", at positions 7 to 64 of the family's 71-position model. From Rfam's summary of the family: Transfer RNA (tRNA) molecules are approximately 80 nucleotides in length. Their secondary structure includes four short double-helical elements and three loops (D, anti-codon, and T loops). RNAcentral also lists the same sequence under 1 other name. The record is from RNAcentral.
ACUUGUAGCUCAGUCGGUUAGAGCAACAGACUCAUAAUCUGGAGGUCCCUGGUUCAAGCCCAGGCUGG